CCUACGGGUGGCAGCAGUGGGGAAUAUUGGGCAAUGGACGCAAGUCUGACCCAGCCACGCCGCGUGAAGGAAGAAGGCUUUCGGGUUGUAAACUUCUUUUAAGGGGGAAGAGCAGAAGACGGUAACCCUUGAAUAAGCCACGGCUAACUACGUGCCAGCAGCCGCGGCAAUACGUAGGUGGCCAGCAUUGUCCGGAUUUACUGGGUGUAAAGGGCGUGCAGCCGGUGAGACAAGGCAGAUGUGAAUUCCACGGGCUCAACCCGUGAACUGCAUUUGAAACUGGUUCCCUUGAGUGUCGGAGAGGUAAUCGGAAUGCGUAGUGUAGCGGUGAAAUGCGUAGAUAUUAGGAAGAACACCAGUGGCGAAGGCGGAUUACUGGACGAUAACUGACGGUGAGGCGCGAAAGCGUGGGGAGCAAACAGGAUUAGAUACCCGUGUAGUC
Molecule: ribosomal RNA, 442 nt
Filed under: uncultured bacterium
Lineage: Bacteria
Description: partial 16S ribosomal RNA
Rfam family: Bacterial small subunit ribosomal RNA
Source: RNAcentral